AGGGGGAUAACUACUGGAAACGGUAGCUAAUACCGCAUAACGUCGCAAGACCAAAGAGGGGGACCUUCGGGCCUCUUGCCAUCGGAUGUGCCCAGAUGGGAUUAGCUAGUAGGUGGGGUAACGGCUCACCUAGGCAACGAUCCCUAGCUGGUCUGAGAGGAUGACCAGCCACACUGGAACUGAGACACGGUCCAGACUCCUACGGGAGGCAGCAGUGGGGAAUAUUGCACAAUGGGCGCAAGCCUGAUGCAGCCAUGCCGCGUGUAUGAAGAAGGCCUUCGGGUUGUAAAGUACUUUCAGCGGGGAGGAAGGGAGUAAAGUUAAUACCUUUGCUCAUUGACGUUACCCGCAGAAGAAGCACCGGCUAACUCCGUGCCAGCAGCCGCGGUAAUACGGAGGGUGCAAGCCGUAAUCGGAAUACUG
This 423-nucleotide ribosomal RNA is filed under the name Escherichia coli. RNAcentral's name for it is "bacterial SSU rRNA". It matches the Rfam family "Bacterial small subunit ribosomal RNA", at positions 137 to 556 of the family's 1533-position model. Lineage: Bacteria; Pseudomonadati; Pseudomonadota; Gammaproteobacteria; Enterobacterales; Enterobacteriaceae. The record is from RNAcentral.